Molecule: small nuclear RNA, 107 nt
Organism: Chionomys nivalis (European snow vole)
Lineage: Eukaryota; Metazoa; Chordata; Mammalia; Rodentia; Cricetidae
Source: RefSeq, a predicted model, not a curated record
GUACUCAUUUUGGCAGCACAUAUACUAAAAUUGAAAACAUCGAGAAAAUUAACAACAAGCUCCUAUGCAAUGAUGAUACAGAAGUUCAUGAAGCAUUCCAUAUUUUA